AAAAUCUGACCUGUUUACAAGUUCCAAUUUGCAACACGAGGACACGCUUCCGGACUCCUCCGGAAAAUUAAAUGGUUGGCCAACUAUUGUUCAUCCCUGGGAAAAUGCGCUCUAAAUUUAGCGCGCACACUGAAGGAAGCUUCAUACAACAAGAACCAUAAGGGUUGCUGAAAUCCUACCUUUAUCAUCUCCAGAGUUUAUAUGACAUGAACAGAGCAUGCGACUGAUGUAGGAAUCAUGGUGUGAAUGCCAUCUGAUUCUGAAGACGUCUCCAUGCGUGUCAGUGUCAGAAAAGGCCAUCAAAGCAGUGGAUUGUUUUCUUUCAAAAGGUUACAUUUCCUAAAUGAAGCCAAAAGCCCACCACAUAUACCAUAUUUUGGAAGAAAUCUGUAGAAACAGGGAUUUCAGCUGGAGAACGCAAUGCCUGGCUGCUCUACAGAAAUUGCCGUAUUGGACGUAUUUGUUGAUCGUUAGUACUAUUAUUGUUUUAAAAGGAAAAGGGAAGCGCUUGUUCGUCGGUUAAUCUGCACAAAUUCAAACCAGUCGGGUGUUGAAGAUGGAGUCACAAGCGAGGAUGCAGGCUUUCCCAUUCCAAUAUCUGAUUCCACAUGGCUGUUCUGCAUGAGAAAGAUUUUCAUUUGGGAAAUGAAGCCAAAUGGCCACCUUCACCUACCCCUGCAUUUAUAUUGCUGAUGUCUCCACAGUCUGCACCUUCAGUGUGUUAUUCAAGUGUAACAUUGCCCCAUACUGUGCUAUGAUCAAUAUUUGAGCUUACAAUUAUCAUGGCAUUGAAAGUUAUAAGUCUAUUUGGGUGCUAUAUACAAACAUAAUAGCUUUAUUGGUGUUUAGGAACUAAGCUGUAAGAUUAUCUGCGGAAUUUCUAAUAAAAACAAUCAUAUAUAGAGAGGAAAAAAACUGUUAUAUAUAAAUAAAGUGUAUCGGAUACACUAAAUAUGGGUUAAUGAUAAAUAAUAAAUUAGUUUGUCCAUUUGUUUCUUUUCAAAUGAGGUUUGCUCUCUCCCUGUCUUUUGUUUGUGCAGGCAAUAUAGAGCCUUUGAUUCUCACAAUUUAUUAUACAGGGUGAUGUCAUUCGCCUGUUUGAUUGUUUUCCUUUUUGAGGGUCCACUUAGAACAUCAAGGCACAGUUUGACCCCAGCAUGUCGCUACACGUCACAUGAUCUGGAACAAAACAUUGAGUGAAGAAACCCAUGUCCUCUUUGUGUGGUCUGGUGUUGUGCCAAGUGUUGACAGGUCUAGAACUGGCACUAUUUCCUGCUGAGGCUUGAGGUUCACUUCUUCACUAGACAUUUUCACAGUUGUUAUCAGGUUAAUACUUAAAAUACAUAAAUCACUCAUUUAUAUCAUUUCCCAUUUGAUGCAGAAUUUGGCAUAACACCAAACCUGUCAUGUUGCGGAAUAAGAAAUACUUUUUUCAAAAAGAUUUUCAGUAUAAGGAUUCUGUUUCUCUUGCCAA
Molecule: long non-coding RNA, 1474 nt
Organism: Megalobrama amblycephala (Wuchang bream)
Lineage: Eukaryota; Metazoa; Chordata; Actinopteri; Cypriniformes; Xenocyprididae
Exons: 3
Source: RefSeq, a predicted model, not a curated record